This 27-nucleotide non-coding RNA is filed under the name Cricetulus griseus (Chinese hamster). Lineage: Eukaryota; Metazoa; Chordata; Mammalia; Rodentia; Cricetidae. The record is from RNAcentral.
AUUGAUCACAUUGCUGGAGACGAGGAU